UGGGGAAUAUUGCACAAUGGGCGCAAGCCUGAUGCAGCCAUGCCGCGUGUGUGAAGAAGGCCUUCGGGUUGUAAAGCACUUUCAGCGAGGAGGAAGGUGGUGAGCUUAAUACGCUCAUCAAUUGACGUUACUCGCAGAAGAAGCACCGGCUAACUCCGUGCCAGCAGCCGCGGUAAUACGGAGGGUGCAAGCGUUAAUCGGAAUUACUGGGCAUAAAGCGCACGCAGGCGGUUUGUUAAGUCAGAUGUGAAAUCCCCGGGCUCAACCUGGGAACUGCAUUUGAAACUGGCAAGCUAGAGUCUCGUAGAGGGGGGUAGAAUUCCAGGUGUAGCGGUGAAAUGCGUAGAGAUCUGGAGGAAUACCGGUGGCGAAGGCGGCCCCCUGGACGAAGACUGACGCUCAGGUGCGAAAGCGUGGGGCAGCAAACAGGAUUAGAUACCCUGGUAGUCCACGCUGUAAACGAUGUCGAUUUGGAGGUUGUGCCCUUGAGGCGUGGCUUCCGGAGCUAACGCGUUAAAUCGACCGCCUGGGGGAGUACGGCCGCAAGGUU
RNAcentral lists this ribosomal RNA (550 nucleotides) under uncultured bacterium. RNAcentral describes it as "partial 16S ribosomal RNA". It matches the Rfam family "Bacterial small subunit ribosomal RNA", at positions 355 to 895 of the family's 1533-position model. The record is from RNAcentral.